Long non-coding RNA from Apis cerana (Asiatic honeybee), 3156 nucleotides. RefSeq lists it as uncharacterized. NCBI's taxonomy places the organism in Eukaryota, Metazoa, Arthropoda, Insecta, Hymenoptera, Apidae. The record is from RefSeq and is a predicted model, not a curated record.
GGAAAUCCUGAUCGAACAGCAUUUUAAUUGACUUUCCGGCAUCAUGUCGUGCGAAAAAUGAAGUCAUUGCGCGCGCGGAAGCGCGUGCACAGAACAGGUGCGCACGCAGCUCUUCGGCAUGCACGUGUCAACAUAAAGAAAAGCAUCGUCAAAGUUCUAAAGGUUUAACCAUCAUGUUACGAGAAAAAGCAUCGAUUAUAAGAAAUUAGAAAUGACAUCGAAGAUAAAACUAACUUCAAAUCAAAAGAUUUGCAAUUAAUCCGAUAAACGCGUGUUCAUGGCGAAGCCUCAUAUAACAACCGACAUAGAUUUACGUCACAUGGAAUUGGCUUCCUAUCAUAUUUCCAUCGAUCGAAUCUAAACUAAGACAACUUGCAUUCAUUUGAAGAAACAGACAAAUGGAAAUUGAUUUGAAUGAUCGAAUUGAUCUAAUAGAAAAAUACGUAUUAAUGAAAUAAUACAUACUAGAUUUCUUUUCGUGCACGUGGAAUGAAAUGCAUACGUGAAACUGCUCGAUGAAUAUCUUUAAUAAAGAGAACAAUUUCAGCUACAGAAUCGAUGCACACUCGACAAGGAUUGAAUAUUAUCAUGAUAAGUAGAAUUAUAUAUUAUCGUUCUUUCAUUAACAAAAUAUCCCAAGUAUUAUUCACAUGUUUGAAAAGGAUAACAAAAAUAUCAAAAUGAUAGUGAAUAAUAUAUGAUAUAACUUAUAAAAAAAAAAUGAUAUAUAACUUAUUAGAAAAAUGCCAUUUUAAUUAUUAUUUUUAGCUUUUUUUAAUUUUAAUUUUUUUAAUUUUUUAAAUUUUAUAAUAUGAAAUUAUAUAUAUUAAUAUAUUAUAUAAUAUAAUAUCCAUUGUUCUAAAUAUACAAUGCAUGUAGAUAUAGCUUAAUUGAUAGUGAUAGAUAACAUAUAAUUCAUAACUAAUAAAUGAUAAUAAUAUAAAUAUAAAUAUUUGAUAUUUAAUAAAAUAUAAAAGAUAAAUUUAUCGAAGCCUUUUAAAAAUCUAAUUUUUUAAAAAUGAAAUGAUAUUAUUAAACAUGUAAUGAUGUAAUAAAUUUUGUAUUAUAUAAUGAAGAAUUUAUUAUCCUGAGAAAAAUUUUGAUAAAAUGGAAACAUUAAAUAAUUUUGUUCAACUGCACAUUUACGAUAUCAUUUUUAUCAUAUCCAAAUGAAUAUAUCCAGACAGAUAAAAGCUAAAAAAAUGCGGACAAAUUUCAUUUAAUUCUAACAAUCUCAUCUUAUAUAUGAUUAAUUUUUCAUGACAGAUACUGUCAUCUAUAUCAUGAUUUAAAAAGAUAGAGAAUAAAAUUGUAUUAUUAUCUUUAAAGAAUAGUUAAUUAAAGAAUAAUUCCUCUCCAUUAUUUCAGAUAUUAAAUAUUUGUCUUUUAAUUACAAUGAGAAUAUUUUUUUUUAAUUUUUAUCACUGUAGUCUUUGAUUUAUUUUUUAAAAAAAUAAAGAUAUUUAGCUAUUGUAAAAAGAGAGUUGCAAUUCGCAAAACAGUUGAAAAACAUUGUUUUAUACAUAGUAGUACAAUAAAUCUUGUUGACUUGCUCCUUUGCUGUUUUUUUCUGCACUCUAUCGCGCCAUGAAAAACGCAUGCAUGAAAGAAUCUCGAGCAGCCUCUUAUCCCUCGUGCUUUUCCAAUUUUUUCUUUCCGUUUGCGAAACGCUCGUUAAAAAGCGAUGAAAGAUAAUUCCAACUCUUGCAAACUGUUUUCCAAAACAAAAGAAACAUCCAACUUUCAUCUAAUCUUUUUUCCAGUUACAAGGAUAGAAGAAAAAUCUUUCAUUUAAAGAAUAUUUAUUUCAGAAAUGAGAGAUUCGAGUGAAAUCCGGAAAUUUAAGUAAUAUCACAGAAAAUUAGAAUUUUUCCUGUGUGGAAUAAAAAAAAAUUGGAAAAUAAUCAUAUAACUAUAACUAUGUGAUAGCGAAACUUGAUAUUUUUCUUAUCUUACGAUAUAAUAAUUGAAAAAAGUGCUCUUAAAAUAUAUUAUUUAUCCUUAUUUAAUGGCUAAGUAAUGGAUGAAGAAUAUUGCAACAAUAGAUGAUAAUUCAUCAAAAUUAAGAUAUAUAUCUAACAAUAAAUAUAAGAAUUAAAUUUGAUUCUUCUUGUUAAUUAAAAAUUAUUCUUGUUAAUUUAUCAUUCUCAGUAUUUAUUUAUUUUAUAACAAAGAAAAUUAAAAAUAUUUUCUCGAAGCUUAACUCGAAUAUUUCAAAAGCGAAUAUUUGUGUAAAAGUACAUAUAAGAUUUCAACGUGUAAAUAUUUCAGGAAUUCCAAAAUCCCUAAGGAUGGUAUAUCAAUCUUUCAUGAUGGCCGUUUCAUUUGCAUCAAAAGCCAAUGGACGUUAAAAGAUUUAUACAAGAAUCGCUUAAGCGAGAAUCGAUAGAUCGAAUAAAAAGGAAUUUCUUGAAGAGAAUAUUUUUAGAUCGACAGAUGCUACAACCUUGGAUGUAUAAAAGUUGAUCUAAAAAUAAUUGGCCAAUCGUUACGGCUUAUUUACUAAUGGAAAAUCGGUUCAUCGACGUGUAUAACGGUGUAUGCGCAGGUACCGUUUUAAAAAAAGGCCCACCAUGAUGAUAUUUCUUCUUUUCCUAUUCCUUUUCCUAGAGUAUAAAAUUCACAAGAAGUUCUCGUAAUCGUUUCAAUGAAAACGCAGCUUUAUAUUCAAUAUUGAUGCAACUCAAAUCGAAAAUUUCCAUAAUAAUUAUUUUUCUAAAAAUCAAAUUUUUUAAAUAAAUCUUUAUCAUAAUUUAUCUAAUAAAAAUUUUAAAUAGAUUAUUCUCAAAAGUUAAGAAGUAAAUCAUUACACGAGAAAUGCAAACACUUUGAUGAAAUUCAAUACUAAUAAAAAAAAUUAAAUCAACGAAUUAAACGAUAAGACAUAUCGAAAACAAACAGUAGUAAUUUUAUAUUUAUUCUGUAUACUAUCGACGAUAUUGUGUAUCGAAUAUACUUCGUAAUUAAGAUUCAUAUAUAUGUAAUAUGUAAUAUAGUAAUUAACACGUGUAUGAUAUCAAUCUAUUGACUAGAUUUACCGAAGAUAUUUCACGUUUUUAUACAAAUUGUUGAAAUCUUGUCAUAAAAAAUUAUUAUUAAGUUUUUUUUUUAAAACAUUUGGGCAAAAAAAUUUUGAUAUGAUACUUCACAAUAUCA